GGAGACUGCCGGUGACAAACCGGAGGAAGGUGGGGACGACGUCAAGUCAUCAUGGCCCUUACGAGUAGGGCUACACACGUGCUACAAUGGCGAGUACAAAGGGAUGCAAAGUGGUGACAGUAAGCGGACCCCUUAAAGCUCGUCGUAGUCCGGAUUGGAGUCUGCAACUCGACUCCAUGAAGUCGGAAUCGCUAGUAAUCGUAGGUCAGCAUACUACGGUGAAUACGUUCCCGGGCCUU
This 239-nucleotide ribosomal RNA is filed under the name uncultured marine bacterium pC2-13. RNAcentral describes it as "partial 16S ribosomal RNA". It matches the Rfam family "Bacterial small subunit ribosomal RNA", at positions 1144 to 1382 of the family's 1533-position model. The record is from RNAcentral. Lineage: Bacteria; Pseudomonadati; Pseudomonadota; Gammaproteobacteria.